GCCUCGGUGGUGUAGUGUGAGCACGCGUCCUCGGUAUGGACGAAACGCGGGUUCAACUCCCGUCUGAGGUC
Molecule: non-coding RNA, 71 nt
Organism: Parelaphostrongylus tenuis
Lineage: Eukaryota; Metazoa; Nematoda; Chromadorea; Rhabditida; Metastrongylidae
Source: the annotation of a GenBank genome assembly